This 301-nucleotide ribosomal RNA is filed under the name uncultured bacterium. Its description in RNAcentral is "partial 16S ribosomal RNA". It matches the Rfam family "Bacterial small subunit ribosomal RNA", at positions 509 to 807 of the family's 1533-position model. The record is from RNAcentral.
CAGUCGCCACGGGAAUACAGAGGGUGCGAGCGUUAAUCGGAUUUACUGGGCGUAAAGCGUGCGUAGGCGGCUUUUUAAGUCGGAUGUGAAAUCCCUGAGCUUAACUUAGGAAUUGCAUUCGAUACUGGGAAGCUAGAGUAUGGGAGAGGAUGGUAGAAUUCCAGGUGUAGCGGUGAAAUGCGUAGAGAUCUGGAGGAAUACCGAUGGCGAAGGCAGCCAUCUGGCCUAAUACUGACGCUGAGGUACAAAAGCAUGGGGAGCAAACAGGAUUAGAUACCCCGGUAGUCCCUGUCUCUUAUAC